Molecule: ribosomal RNA, 889 nt
Filed under: uncultured archaeon
Lineage: Archaea
Description: bacterial SSU rRNA
Rfam family: Archaeal small subunit ribosomal RNA
Source: RNAcentral
UUCCGGUUGAUCCUGCCGUGACCUGACUGCUAUCGGAUUGAUACUAGGCCAUGCGAGUCAUUGUAGCAAUACAAGGUUACGGCUCAGUAACGCGUAGUCAACCUACCUUAUGGACGGGGAUAACCUCGGGAAACUGAGAAUAAUACCCGAUAGAACACUAUGCCUGGAAUGGUUUAUGUUUCAAAUAAUUUAUUGCCGUAAGAUGGGACUGCGGCCUAUCCCUUUGUUGGUGAGGUAAUGGCCCACCAAGACUAUUACAGGGACGGGCUCUGAGAGGAGUAGCCCGGAGAUGGGUACUGAGACACGGACCCAGGCCCUAUGGGGCGCAACAAGCGAGAAAACUUUGCAAUGUGCAAAAGCACGACAAGGUUAAUCCGAGUGGUUUCUGCUAAAGGAACCUUUUGUCUUCAUAGAACCACUGACGAAUAAGGGGUGGGCAAGUUCUGGUGUCAGCCGCCGCGGUAAAACCACCACCUCACGUGGUCAGGAUGAUUAUUGGGCCUAAAGCAUCCGUAGCCUGCUUUGUUAGUUUUCGGUUAAGUCCAUAUGCUCAACGUAUGGGCUGCCGGGAAUACUGCGCAGCUAGGGAGUGGGAGAGGUAGACGGUACUCGGUAGGAACGCGUAAAAUCCUUUGAUCUAUUGAUGACCACCUGUGGCGAAGGCGGUCUACCACAACACGUCCGACGGUGAGGGAUGACAGCGGGGUGAGCUAACCGGAUUAGAUACUCUGGUAGACCCAGCUGUAAACUAUGCAUACUCGGUGAUGCAUUGGCUUGAUGCCAUUGCAGUGCCGCACGGAAGCCGUUAAUCUUUGCCGCCUGAGAUGUACGUACUCUAGUAUGAAACUUAAACGGAAGUAGACGUGGGAGUCUCCACAAUCGGCUGAAG